Molecule: non-coding RNA, 119 nt
Organism: Paramuricea clavata
Lineage: Eukaryota; Metazoa; Cnidaria; Anthozoa; Malacalcyonacea; Plexauridae
Source: the annotation of a GenBank genome assembly
AAUUAUUCUGCAAUUCAAAAAUUGAAGCCGUGAUUGCAGGCUCAGGGUAUUCCCAUGACAUUUCAUGGGAAUACCCUGAGCCUGCAAUCACGGCUUCAAUUUUUGAAUUGCAGAAUAAU